GCAGCGGUGGCGUAGUGGUAGACGUUAUAGGUCUCCUAACCAGUCGCCGAGCGCUGCGCGGGUUCGAAUCCCGUCUCAAGCG
RNAcentral lists this transfer RNA (82 nucleotides) under Acanthoscelides obtectus. Its description in RNAcentral is "hypothetical protein". Lineage: Eukaryota; Metazoa; Arthropoda; Insecta; Coleoptera; Chrysomelidae. The record is from RNAcentral.